Long non-coding RNA from Lathyrus oleraceus (garden pea), 496 nucleotides. RefSeq lists it as uncharacterized. The transcript has 2 exons. The record is from RefSeq and is a predicted model, not a curated record. Lineage: Eukaryota; Viridiplantae; Streptophyta; Magnoliopsida; Fabales; Fabaceae.
UGCUGAUCUUGCAAUAUCUACGUACUUUCAAAGCUCAAAUUCCCGUGAGGGAUCCAGAAAGGGAAUCGGUAGGAGGAUUAUAUUAUCUUAGCUAUUUGGAUGAUAAUAUGCUUUUGGGUCGUGCUAUUGGUGGAGGUGGUGUAUUUGUGUUUACAAGAGCCCAAUCACUUUACUGAUGAGCAUUCAUCAAUAGUAGUUCAAAACUCGGACCGCUUGACAGAAAUAUUACAGUAACACUCCAUGAGCCAUCGUUACGGAAUUGAACAUAUGGAGAGAAACAAAUAGAACGGAGGCCUAUAGCCUACUACAAAGGAUUCUCCUCAAUGUAAUCUAUGUGAUAUUAUUUGAUCUUGAUACUCUUUAGGGGAAGGGGAGGGUGUGUUGUAAAUAUGUUAUGUAUCUAUUGAUUUCAUUUUUAUUGUUGUACUUGUAUAUUGAUAUAGUUUAUGUUCAAUGUAACUUUUGAUAUCAGAUUUCUAGUUGACAGUUCUUUAAA